Molecule: ribosomal RNA, 246 nt
Filed under: uncultured bacterium
Lineage: Bacteria
Description: partial 16S ribosomal RNA
Rfam family: Bacterial small subunit ribosomal RNA
Source: RNAcentral
ACGGGUGAGUAACACGUGGGUAACCUACCCGGAGGUGGGGGAUAACUCUUCGAAAGGAGAGCUAAUACCGCAUGAUAUCUCGAAGGUUCGCCUUCGAGUUCAAGGCUAGCCUCUUCUUGAAAGCUAGCGCCACCGGAGGGGCCCGCGGCCCAUUAGCUUGUUGGUGGGGUAACGGCUCACCAAGGCGACGAUGGGUAGCCGGCCUGAGAGGGUGAACGGCCACACUGGAACUGGGACACGGUCCAG